This 279-nucleotide ribosomal RNA is filed under the name uncultured bacterium. RNAcentral's name for it is "partial 16S ribosomal RNA". It matches the Rfam family "Bacterial small subunit ribosomal RNA", at positions 506 to 784 of the family's 1533-position model. The record is from RNAcentral.
UGCCAGCAGCCGCGGUAAUACGGAGGGUGCAAGCGUUAAUCGGAAUUACUGGGCGUAAUGCGCGCGUAGGCGGAGCAUUAAGUCUCAUGUGAAAGCCCUGGGCUCAACCUGGGAACUGCAUGGGAUACUGGUAUUCUAGAAUACAGUAGAGGGAGGUGGAAUUUCAGGUGUAGCGGUGAGAUGCGUAGAGAUCUGAAGGAACAUCAGUGGCGAAGGCGACCUCCUGGACUGAUAUUGACGCUGAGGUGCGAAAGCUUGGGGAGCAAACAGGAUUAGAUC